GACGAACGCUGGCGGCGUGCCUAAUACAUGCAAGUAGAACGCUGAAGGAGGAGCUUGCUUCUCUGGAUGAGUUGCGAACGGGUGAGUAACGCGUAGGUAACCUGCCUGGUAGCGGGGGAUAACUAUUGGAAACGAUAGCUAAUACCGCAUAAGAGUAGAUGUUGCAUGACAUUUGCUUAAAAGGUGCAAUUGCAUCACUACCAGAUGGACCUGCGUUGUAUUAGCUAGUUGGUGGGGUAACGGCUUACCAAGGCGACGAUACAUAGCCGACCUGAGAGGGGGAUCGGCCACACUGGGACUGAGACACGGCCCAGACUCCUACGGGAGGCAGCAGUAGGGAAUCUUCGGCAAUGGACGGAAGUCUGACCGAGCAACGCCGCGGGAGUGAAGAAGGUUUUCGGAUCGUAAAGCUCUGUUGUAAGAGAAGAACGAGUGUGAGAGUGGAAAGUUCACACUGUGACGGUAGCUUACCAGAAAGGGACGGCUAACUACGUG
RNAcentral lists this ribosomal RNA (495 nucleotides) under uncultured bacterium. RNAcentral's name for it is "partial 16S ribosomal RNA". It matches the Rfam family "Bacterial small subunit ribosomal RNA", at positions 28 to 507 of the family's 1533-position model. The record is from RNAcentral.